Molecule: long non-coding RNA, 247 nt
Organism: Trichomycterus rosablanca
Lineage: Eukaryota; Metazoa; Chordata; Actinopteri; Siluriformes; Trichomycteridae
Exons: 3
Source: RefSeq, a predicted model, not a curated record
AAGCGAGAGAAGUUGUAAACAAGCUGCUUCUUAAACACGUCCGUCGUUCAGCCUUUCUAGAUAAGGCCAGCGCGCAUAUGUUGAGUUACCGUGAGGCAUGUGUAAGUAGCCUACUGAAGUGGACUAAAGCAAAACAGAGCCCCAAAACAGUGCAGGGAAGAAAACUUUAGCCCAAGAUGUGGAUUCCAGCAAAUGUAAAACAAAGCACUUGCACAUUUUUGUUUUUGUUCAGAACAGCAGUGUUUAC